CUACGGGUGGCUCCAGUGGGGAAUAUUGGACAAUGGGGGAAACCCUGAUCCAGCAAUGCCGCGUGUGUGAAGAAGGCCUGCGGGUUGUAAAGCACUUUCGGUUGGGAGGACUGCUUCUAGCACUAAUAUUGUUGGAAGUUGACGUUACCUUCAGAAGAAGCACCGGCUAACUCCGUGCCAGCAGCCGCGGUAAUACGGAGGGUGCACGCGUUAAUCGGAAUUACUGGGCGUAAAGCGCGCGUAGGCGGCUAGAUCAGUCGGGUGUGAAAGCCCCGGGCUUAACCUGGGAACUGCAUCCGAUACUGGCUAGCUUGAGUACAGGAGAGGAGAGUGGAAUUCCACAUGUAGCGGUGAAAUGCGUAGAUAUGUGGAGGAACACCAAUGGCGAAGGCAGCUCUCUGGCCUGAAACUGACGCUGAGGUGCGAAAGCGUGGGGAGCAAACAGGAUUAGAUACCCGGGUAGUC
Molecule: ribosomal RNA, 465 nt
Filed under: uncultured bacterium
Lineage: Bacteria
Description: partial 16S ribosomal RNA
Rfam family: Bacterial small subunit ribosomal RNA
Source: RNAcentral